Long non-coding RNA from Anastrepha ludens (Mexican fruit fly), 1345 nucleotides. RefSeq lists it as uncharacterized. The record is from RefSeq and is a predicted model, not a curated record. NCBI's taxonomy places the organism in Eukaryota, Metazoa, Arthropoda, Insecta, Diptera, Tephritidae. The transcript has 3 exons.
UCCCACACAAAAUUUCAAGAAGUAUAAAAUAUGUUGGGUUCUUUGGUCAUGAGCUCUUAGACUAUAAGUAAUACACAACAACGGCCGCUGUCGUACAGCACCACUAUCGAUAGUUGAAAAUACUAUCGAAUGGUUGCAUUCCUAUUUAUCUAAAAAGUUCAAUUCAAGGAAUUUGGCGCUUGUGGUACGGGAGAUAUUGGCAGUUUGCUGUAAAAUGGGAAAUUCGGAAGACUUGCAGGCUUAUUAUACGGAGAACAGUCCUGAAGCAGAAAUUUUGUCCAGCGGCGUGUUUUCACGACUCCGAAGCUUGGAAAUAUUUUACGCAUUCGAAAGAAAAAAAUUGCUAGAUGUCGGUCAUGCGACAAAGAAUAUAGACAAGUUCAAUUUUUUUCGACCAUUUAAAACGUCUAUCUCAACAUCAGAUAAAAUCCAAGUUGUUAAAAAUAAUAAAGAAUUUUUUCCCAGAUAUGCAAAAUACGAUAAUAAUACGGACGUAAGAAAAAUGCUGACGAUUGCUGCGGGCAUUCAAACUUUCCGCAUUGCAGAAGCAGAGAAUGUAAAUAAUUGAAUGAGAAGGCGCAAAUGUUAAAUAACUUUUUUCGAGUACUAAAUUGAAGAUUCGUUGUAAAGGAUUUCAGAUAUUUACUUACAACACUAGUAGAUGAUUUCAGAUUUUUACCACUUUUGUAGAGGCAGAGAACGUAACGAAUGUAUAGGGUUAUCUAAUAAGAGGUGUUAUUUUGAUAUUCACAGAAAAAUGCUAUUUUUUAAUAUAAAUGAUCGGAUGUUUAUUUCAUUAUAAAGAGGAAGGUAUGCCAUUAAUAGGGGAAUAUAACAUCAGGCAAAUGACCACCACGACCACGCUUACAGGACAAUAACCUUUUCAUGAAAUUUUCCAUAACCGAAUUGAAAAGUGGCUGCCCUAUGCCCUCGAUAGCCUCACGAAGACCGUCUUUGAGGCCUUGAAUCAACCCUGGGCUGUUGGCGUAGACCUUUUCUUUCACGUGACCUCAGAAAAAAAAGUCACAAGGUGCUAAAUCACAAGAUUUCGGUGGCCAAUUGUGAUCGUUUCUUCGAGAUUUAACUUUUCCCGUAAAAUAUCAAUGGUUUCGUUGCUUGUGUGGCAUGUAGCGCCGUCUUGUUGAAAAUAAACGCUGUCCAGAUCAAUACCAUCCAAUUCCGGCCAUAAAAAAUUGUUAAUAAUCUAAUCUAACCUAAAUAACACCUGUUAUUGGAAAAUCCUUUAUUUACGUUCUCUGGUAGAGGAUUUCAGAGCUUUACUUACCACACUUGUGCAUUAUUGUCUGUAUGUACAAAUGUACGUACAUGCAUAUAUAAUAUAACG